GAUGAAGAACGUAGCGAAAUGCGAUAAGUAAUGUGAAUUGCAGAAUUCAGUGAAUCAUCGAAUCUUUGAACGCACAUUGCGCCCCCUGGUAUUCCGGGGGGCAUGCCUGUUCGAGCGUCAUUUCACCACUCAAGCCUCGCUUGGUAUUGGGCAACGCGGUCCGCCGCGUGCCUCAAAUCGACCGGCUGGGUCUUCUGUCCCCUAAGCGUUGUGGAAACUAUUCGCUAAAGGGUGUUCGGGAGGCUACGCCGUAAAACAACCCCAUUUCUAAGGUUGACCUCGGAUCAGGUAGGGAUACCCGCUGAACUUAAGUAUAUCAAUAAGCGGAGGA
RNAcentral lists this unclassified non-coding RNA (331 nucleotides) under soil metagenome. RNAcentral describes it as "partial contains 5.8S ribosomal RNA, internal transcribed spacer 2, and large subunit ribosomal RNA". The stretch from base 1 to 120 matches the Rfam family "5.8S ribosomal RNA", at positions 35 to 154 of the family's 154-position model. The record is from RNAcentral.